This 253-nucleotide ribosomal RNA is filed under the name uncultured bacterium. RNAcentral's name for it is "partial 16S ribosomal RNA". It matches the Rfam family "Bacterial small subunit ribosomal RNA", at positions 524 to 776 of the family's 1533-position model. The record is from RNAcentral.
GACGGAGGGUACUAGCGUUGUUCGGAAUUACUGGGCGUAAAGGGCGCGUAGGCGGCCCUGUCAGUCGGGUGUGAAAGCCCGGGGCUCAACCCCGGAACGGCACCCGAGACGGCGGGGCUGGAGACCGGGAGAGGAGGGUGGAAUAGCCAGUGUAGAGGUGAAAUUCGUAGAUAUUGGCUGGAACACCGGUGGCGAAAGCGGCUCUCUGGCCCGGUUCUGACGCUGAGGCGCGAAAGCGUGGGGAGCAAACAGG